AGACCCGAAACCCGGUGAUCUAGCCAUGGGCAGGUUGAAGGUUGGGUAACACUAACUGGAGGACCGAACCGACUAAUGUUGAAAAAUUAGCGGAUGACCUGUGGCUGGGGGUGAAAGGCCAAUCAAACCGGGAGAUAGCUGGUUCUCCCCGAAAGCUAUUUAGGUAGCGCCUCGUGAAUUCAUCUCCGGGGGUAGAGCACUGUUUCGGCUAGGGGGCCAUCCCGGCUUACCAACCCGAUGCAAACUGCGAAUACCGGAGAAUGUUAUCACGGGAGACACACGGCGGGUGCUAACGUCCGUCGUGAAGAGGGAAACAACCCAGACCGCCAGCUAAGGUCCCAAAGUCAUGGUUAAGUGGGAAACGAUGUGGGAAGGCCCAGACAGCCAGGAUGUUGGCUUAGAAGCAGCCAUCAUUUAAAGAAAGCGUAAUAGCUCACUGGUCGAGUCGGCCUGCGCGGAAGAUGUAACGGGGCUAAACCAUGCACCGAAGCUGCGGCAGCGACACUAUGUGUUGUUGGGUAGGGGAGCGUUCUGUAAGCCUGUGAAGGUGGCCUGUGAGGGUUGC
Molecule: ribosomal RNA, 565 nt
Filed under: Salmonella enterica subsp. enterica
Lineage: Bacteria; Pseudomonadati; Pseudomonadota; Gammaproteobacteria; Enterobacterales; Enterobacteriaceae
Description: partial 23S ribosomal RNA
Rfam family: Bacterial large subunit ribosomal RNA
Source: RNAcentral